This 559-nucleotide small RNA is filed under the name Arabidopsis thaliana (thale cress). RNAcentral describes it as "ATSL016680". Lineage: Eukaryota; Viridiplantae; Streptophyta; Magnoliopsida; Brassicales; Brassicaceae. The record is from RNAcentral.
GACAAGUGAAUGAUAGAACUCAAGACUUCAUAAGUGAAUCAAUAUGAGUUGUUUAUUUUUUCUUAAACACUUUCUAUCAAUAAUUUCUUUUGUAUUAAGAAUCGAUACGAAAAAUAUCACCUUGUUAAGUUUCAUAUCCCGAAUUGGAUUUUAUUUAAGGACUAAAAAUGUAAGGCUUAGGGUGUGACUGGUUACGGCGGUUGGAACGGACAAAACCGUCAACGGAUCAGACCGCUUUUUAUUUACCAUUCAUCAAUUAUAGUUUGCAGUGGUCCGGACCAAAAGAAAUAGAAGAAAACCGCAGCGGACCAUUUGCGGACCAUUUUUACAUACAAAUAAAACUGGUCUGUAGCGAUUUAUUGUCCGCCCCAAAAAUAAGAUGAACUAAACCGCAGACAAAUUAGACCGCUAUGUCCACUGCAUCCAUUCAAAGCCUUAUUUUGCCACAUCUAUAAUUACAUUUUGAUGUACGUGCAUUGAAUAAUUGUAAACCUAAACCACCCUAAUAUACAUAUAAGUUAGUUUUCUUUUAUACAUUUAAUUUACAACGGAUAUUAUC